RNAcentral lists this unclassified non-coding RNA (296 nucleotides) under Calonectria sp. RNAcentral's name for it is "partial contains 5.8S ribosomal RNA, internal transcribed spacer 2, and large subunit ribosomal RNA". The stretch from base 1 to 71 matches the Rfam family "5.8S ribosomal RNA", at positions 84 to 154 of the family's 154-position model. The record is from RNAcentral. Lineage: Eukaryota; Fungi; Ascomycota; Sordariomycetes; Hypocreales; Nectriaceae.
GUGAAUCAUCGAAUCUUUGAACGCACAUUGCGCCCGCCAGUAUUCUGGCGGGCAUGCCUGUUCGAGCGUCAUUUCAACCCUCAAGCUCAGCUUGGUGUUGGGGAUCGGCAAGGCGUCCUCCGGGUCGCGCCGUCCCCCAAAUAUAGUGGCGGUCUCGCUGUAGCUUCCUCUGCGUAGUAAUACACCUCGCUCUGGAGUCUCGGUGCGGCCACGCCGUAAAACCCCCAACUUUUUCUGGUUGACCUCGAAUCAGGUAGGACUACCCGCUGAACUUAAGCAUAUCAAUAAGCGGAGGA